CCCGAUAGGACUAUCCACCUGAAAUGGUUUGUGUUCCAAAUGAUUUAUCGCCGUAGGAUGGGACUGCGGCCUAUCAGUUUGUUGGUGAGGUAAUGGCCCACCAAGACUAUUACAGGUACGGGCUCUGAGAGGAGUAGCCCGGAGAUGGGUACUGAGACACGGACCCAGGCCCUAUGGGGCGCAGCAGGCGAGAAAACUUUGCAAUGUGCGAAAGCACGACAAGGUUAAUCCGAGUGAUUUCUGCUAAAGAAAUCUUUUGUUAGUCCUAGAAACACUAACGAAUAAGGGGUGGGCAAGUUCUGGUGUCAGCCGCCGCGGUAAAACCAGCACCUCAAGUGGUCAGGAUGGUUAUUGGGCCUAAAGCAUCCGUAGCCUGCUCUGUAAGUUUUCGGUUAAAUCUGUACGCUCAACGUACAGGCUGCCGGGAAUACUGCAGAGCUAGGGAGUGGGAGAGGUAGACGGUACUCGGGAGGAAGUGGUAAAAUGCUUUGAUCUCUCGAUGACCACCUGUGGCGAAGGCGGUCUACCAGAACACGUCCGACGGUGAGGGAUGAAAGCUGGGGGAGCAAACCGGAUUAGAUACCCGGGUAGUCCCAGCUGUAAACUAUGCAAACUCAGUGAUGCAUUGGCUUGUGGCCAAUGCAGUAUUGCAGGGAAGCCGUUAAGUUUGCCGCCUGGGAAGUACGUACGCAAGUAUGAAACUUAAAGGAAUUGGCGGGGGAGCACCACAAGGGGUGAAGCCUGCGGUUCAAUUGGAGUCAACGCCGGAAAUCUUACCCGGAGAGACAGCAGAAUGAAGGUCAAGCUGAAGACUUUACCAGACAAGCUGAGAGGUGGUGCAUGGCCGUCGCCAGCUCGUGCCGUGAGAUGUCCUGUUAAGUCAGGUAACGAGCGAGAUCC
Molecule: ribosomal RNA, 900 nt
Filed under: uncultured archaeon
Lineage: Archaea
Description: bacterial SSU rRNA
Rfam family: Archaeal small subunit ribosomal RNA
Source: RNAcentral